This 253-nucleotide ribosomal RNA is filed under the name uncultured bacterium. RNAcentral describes it as "partial 16S ribosomal RNA". It matches the Rfam family "Bacterial small subunit ribosomal RNA", at positions 524 to 776 of the family's 1533-position model. The record is from RNAcentral.
UACGUAGGGGGCAAGCGUUGUCCGGAUUUAUUGGGCGUAAAGAGCGUGGAGGCGGUUUGGUAGGUCCGCUGUGAAAACUCGAGGCUCAACCUCGAGACGCCGGUGGAAACCAUCAGACUAGAGUCCGGAAGAGGGGAGUGGAAUUCCUGGUGUAGCGGUGAAAUGCGCAGAUAUCAGGAAGAACACCCGUGGCUAAGGCGGCUCUCUAGUACGGUACUGACGCUGAGACGCGAAAGCGUGGGGAGCGAACAGG